This 465-nucleotide ribosomal RNA is filed under the name uncultured bacterium. RNAcentral describes it as "partial 16S ribosomal RNA". It matches the Rfam family "Bacterial small subunit ribosomal RNA", at positions 28 to 507 of the family's 1533-position model. The record is from RNAcentral.
GAUGAACGCUGGCGGCGUGCUUAACACAUGCAAGUCGAACGGAAAGGCUCCUGCUUGCAGGGGUACUCGAGUGGCGAACGGGUGAGUAACACGUGGGUGAUCUGCCCUGCACUUCGGGAUAAGCCUGGGAAACUGGGUCUAAUACCGGAUAGGACGAUGGUUUGGAUGCCAUUGUGGAAAGUUUUUCGGUGUGGGAUGAGCUCGCGGCCUAUCAGCUUGUUGGUGGGGUAAUGGCCUACCAAGGCGUCGACGGGUAGCCGGCCUGAGAGGGUGUACGGCCAAAUUGGGACGGAGAGCCGCCCAGGCCCCAUGCGGGGGGAAGGGGGGGGGAAUGUGGCAAAAGGGGCGGAGGCGGGAUGCAGCGCCGCGGGGGGGGGAAGGCCGGCUUGCGGGUUAAAAACGACUUUCGGAGGGGAGGAAGCAAAGGUGCGGUUACCGGAAGAAAAAGCACGGGCUAACUACGGG